Molecule: ribosomal RNA, 915 nt
Filed under: uncultured bacterium
Lineage: Bacteria
Description: bacterial SSU rRNA
Rfam family: Bacterial small subunit ribosomal RNA
Source: RNAcentral
UAGAGUUUGAUCCUGGCUCAGAUUGAACGCUGGCGGCAGGCCUAACACAUGCAAGUCGAGCGGAUGAAGGGAGCUUGCUCCUGGAUUCAGCGGCGGACGGGUGAGUAAUGCCUAGGAAUCUGCCUGGUAGUGGGGGAUAACGUCCGGAAACGGGCGCUAAUACCGCAUACGUCCUGAGGGAGAAAGUGGGGGAUCUUCGGACCUCACGCUAUCAGAUGAGCCUAGGUCGGAUUAGCUAGUUGGUGGGGUAAAGGCCUACCAAGGCGACGAUCCGUAACUGGUCUGAGAGGAUGAUCAGUCACACUGGAACUGAGACACGGUCCAGACUCCUACGGGAGGCAGCAGUGGGGAAUAUUGGACAAUGGGCGAAAGCCUGAUCCAGCCAUGCCGCGUGUGUGAAGAAGGUCUUCGGAUUGUAAAGCACUUUAAGUUGGGAGGAAGGGCAGUAAGUUAAUACCUUGCUGUUUUGACGUUACCAACAGAAUAAGCACCGGCUAACUUCGUGCCAGCAGCCGCGGUAAUACGAAGGGUGCAAGCGUUAAUCGGAAUUACUGGGCGUAAAGCGCGCGUAGGUGGUUCAGCAAGUUGGAUGUGAAAUCCCCGGGCUCAACCUGGGAACUGCAUCCAAAACUACUGAGCUAGAGUACGGUAGAGGGUGGUGGAAUUUCCUGUGUAGCGGUGAAAUGCGUAGAUAUAGGAAGGAACACCAGUGGCGAAGGCGACCACCUGGACUGAUACUGACACUGAGGUGCGAAAGCGUGGGGAGCAAACAGGAUUAGAUACCCUGGUAGUCCACGCCGUAAACGAUGUCGACUAGCCGUUGGGAUCCUUGAGAUCUUAGUGGCGCAGCUAACGCGAUAAGUCGACCGCCUGGGGAGUACGGCCGCAAGGUUAAAACUCAAAGGAAUUGACGGG